GAGUGCUAAGUGUGAGGGGGUUUCCCCCCCUUAGGGCUGCAGCUAACGCAUUACGCACUCCGCCUGGGGAGUACGGUCGCAAGACUGAAACUCAUGGGAAGUGACGGGGGCCCGCACGAGCGGUGGAGCAUGUGUUUUAUUUCGAAGCAACGCAAAAAACCUUACCGGGUCGUGACGUCCCGUGGACCACUGUAAAGAUGCGUUCUUCCCUUCGGGGACA
Molecule: ribosomal RNA, 220 nt
Filed under: Lysinibacillus fusiformis
Lineage: Bacteria; Bacillati; Bacillota; Bacilli; Caryophanales; Bacillaceae
Description: partial 16S ribosomal RNA
Rfam family: Bacterial small subunit ribosomal RNA
Source: RNAcentral